UUUUUCUGCCCUAUUACAUACCAUUUUAUUCAUCAUACUUAACAAAGCUAAACCUGUACAAGUUUGUACACAUCGCAUUGAAAGAACUGUUCACUAGCUUAAAAAAAAAGUAACAAAACAUCAGAAACAUUAAACUUAUGGUCCCUUUUACAAGGUUUGUGCAUCGGCAUCAACAGAUCAGCUCCAAGCCUCUGAGAGGAAAACACCUUCGCGGGGAAGCUCAUGCCGCAGCGACCCCUGCCGGGCCGCCUGGAGCGGGACCGAGCUGGCACCCGCAGCGACCUCGACGUGACAUUACAGCCAUUAGUAAAGAAUUAGACGUUUAAACAGUAAAGAUAAUUCGGAUCGAAACUACAUAUACAGUUAAAGACAUAGGUAAACAUACAUGACUGUUUAAUUCAAGAUCACAUUUUUACAUAGGAGAAAUAUUACAUUUCAAUCUACCAGUAUGGCUUUAUCCAUGAACAGGUGGGCAUUUUCAGAUUUAAAACCCAAAACUGUUAGUUGUCUAAGAAAACUAAAGAAAAACCCCAUAAUUAUUAGUUAUGUUAGGAAGAAUUAAUAUCAAGAAAUGAAGGUGAUAUCAAAGUGAAGUUUGUAACAUCAAGAUAGACACCACUAGGGUUUAGAUUUGGAAGACAUUUCACCUUCAAUUUUAUUAUUUGUCAUAACUGUGGCAGCAUAUUUCAUCUGUGAACUUUCAUCUUAGAAUACUGAAAAAUAAGGUGUCACUUUUUAAUUCAAUAGAUUGAAAUGCACCUAAGCAAAGCAAAAUUAAAGUUCAAAGGCUAACGAAAGCAUUUAGCUGAACUCAGUUUUGGCUUGAGGACAUGCACAAAAUUAAAAAACUAAAAUAAAUAAACAGCUUUUGGCAUUUAUCCACAGUAAACUGCAAGGUGAUUUAAGAAAAGACAGCUAAUAAACGUGAUCAGGUCACAGUGAAACUGUACAAGCCAUUAGUUCACAUUUAAACAACAAAUCUGAUUGCAGUUUUGAGCACAAACCAUAACUUAAAAUCCUAUUUUAUUCAAAUUUGAAAAACUAUAUUGAUUUUAAGUAGUUUAAAUACAUUCAUUCCCAAAGUUUUACAGUAACUGAUGAUUUUCAAUCACACACACAACCAAGUUAUAAAUCCCUGAAAUGUGGAUUUAUUAUAGGAAUACUGAUAAAACCUUGACAGAGAUACAAAUGACACGUCACAUAGUGUCUUACACCUUAAUGGUAAAUACUUGACCACCCUGGAUUGGUAGAUGCAUCACUCCUACUGUUAUACUCUAAUAUCAUCCUCUAGGACCAACUGGUUUAAAUUGAAUUCACAACAGUUUGCAGUUACCUAAAAAAAGAUGGUUUUUUUCAUUUUUUUUUUUAAUUACACUAUAAAAUAUUAAUCUUCUAACCAGUAUUUCAAAAGUUCUGGAAACAGAAUUUCCCAGUUAUAAUGAGGACUAAACAUACUAAGUAAAGAGAGUCAUUGUGGUGAAUUUUAGAAAGCCAUUUCAGAACAGUGCCCUUCCAGAGGUUUAAUAUACAGCAGUGCGUCCCUUGACAUAGGUUAACUGGUGCAUGUUUAUCUAUGCACCCCAGGGCCUUACUCUACCACUAGAUCUUGGGACUUUCAAAGUUAAUCUCAUUCUGGCACUGACUUUCUGUGGAGUAGGGCAAUUUCCAAAUGAAAGGCACUCCGUUGUAUGAGUGAAAUCAGCAGCAGCAGCAAUGCAAAUGGGCAACUUGUAACAUACUGAAGAGAACUGCUGUAGCCAACAUGAGGUCUAAAAUUAAGUACUUCCCUUAAAAAACGUGGAAAAAUAUAGAACAGCUCUAGUGCAUGUGUUCACAUGCACACAGACACUAGCCACUGUACAAGCUGAGACCUUCCAAGUAUCUCAACUAUUGUUUGGUUUUGUUUCCCCCUGCAAUGUUUUUUUACACUUGGGCAGAAACAAGUGAAACUGCACUGCUAGCUGACUUGCAGAAUAAUCUGUAGAUCACCACUGCAUCACUUCCUGCAGCCCACAGCACGCAGGUCUGGAGAGUAAGUCGCAAGCGUGGUUCUCUCCAGUAGAACAAGAGCACAGGCACCCACUACUAGUUGGUCCCACUUAUUAUUCCUCCACACACCUUUCUUCGUUUUUUCCCCUCUCCAAUUCCCCCUCCUCAUAAGAAAAAAAAAAAUAAAAAUCUUGGGAAUAAAGCUUUCCUUAAGGAUAGGAAAACUCAUACAUGUUAGUCUGAAUAAGUGAUGUGCAAAACAGAAGUAAUUUCCCUGAGGCAAAGAUCUUCAAGUCAUGCCUAGCUUACAUUGUCUAUUCUUACUUCAAGCUGUUGAAUUAUUUGGCACAACGAGGCCUUGAUCACUGACUGAGUCUCAUAGCAUUAUCGCAGUCUACGUAACAUUUAUACAACAAAGUAGAAGUUACAAAUGCUUCAUACUCUCACUCUAUUUUGGUUUCUCACAUUUACUCGUUAACAUCUCUUUCCUCCUCAAGGGUGGCAUUGGGCCUUGUGGGCAAAAGGUAGAAUGACAAACUUCUACUGUAUUUCAAGGUUGCCAUGAAUACUGAGUGCCUAAAAGGGCAAUCAUAGUAGUUACUGGACUCUAUCCAUGGAGUAACAUGGUAAAAAUUAAUAGCCUGUUAUAUAGAGGUCAAAGGUAGGUGAUUUAAUAGUCUUUUCUGGACUUAUAUUACAAAAAAAAUCCAGGGAAAUUAAUAAAAAAAAAAAAAAAAAGGAAAAAAAAAAA
Strigops habroptila (Kakapo) is the source of this 2740-nucleotide long non-coding RNA. NCBI's taxonomy places the organism in Eukaryota, Metazoa, Chordata, Aves, Psittaciformes, Psittacidae. The record is from Ensembl.